AUGGAUGAUGGAACUGGUGGUGUUCAAGAAUCAAGUGACAUGUCGAUUUCAAGCGAUGAUGACACCAAUAAGCAACGGAAUGAAAGCAAUGUGGAACUUGAACAUGACCUUGGUGAAGCUCAACCAGAUGCCUUACUUGGAGACCCUAAAUUGGGGAUGACCUUUGAUACUGAGAAUGAGGUGGGAGAGUACUACAACAACUACGCUAAAGCAAAGGGCUUUGGUGUGACAAGAAAAAGCUCAAACAAUGAUGAUAAUGGACAGCUGAAGUAUCUUACACUUUCGUGCUCUCAGUAUGGUAAGACUCAGUCCAGAUCAAGAAAUAUGUUGAAACCAAAUCCAACAACCGGGUUAGGAUGUAAAGCUAAAAUCAAUAUUAUCCGUGGUCCUGAUGGGAAGUUUCAUCUUUCAACUGUCAUUUUAGAUCAUAAUCAUACAUUAAGUCCACACAAGUCUCGGUUAUUCAGAUGCAACCAAAAGUUAGACUUCCAUGUGAAGCGAAGGCUUGAGCUGAAUGACCGGGCUGGAAUUCGAGUAAACAAGAAUUCAACCAUACCUUGCAUCACACACUUUGAUAUUGAGAAGCAAUUUCAGUCAAUCUAUACAAAUUCGAAGUUCAAAGAAUUUCAAGAAGAGCUAACACACAAGAUGUAUUGUGAUAGGAAGUUAAUAGAAAAAAGGGGCAAUGGAAACAUAUGA
This 699-nucleotide ribosomal RNA is filed under the name Triticum aestivum (bread wheat). RNAcentral's name for it is "partial small subunit ribosomal RNA". The record is from RNAcentral. Lineage: Eukaryota; Viridiplantae; Streptophyta; Magnoliopsida; Poales; Poaceae.